This 460-nucleotide ribosomal RNA is filed under the name uncultured bacterium. Its description in RNAcentral is "partial 16S ribosomal RNA". It matches the Rfam family "Bacterial small subunit ribosomal RNA", at positions 338 to 795 of the family's 1533-position model. The record is from RNAcentral.
CCUACGGGAGGCAGCAGUGAGGAAUAUUGGUCAAUGGGCGGGAGCCUGAACCAGCCAAGUCGCGUGAGGGAAGACGGUCCUAUGGAUUGUAAACCUCUUUAGGCGGGGAGCAAUGCCGGGCACGCGUGCCCGGAGGGAGAGUACCCGCAGAAUAAGCAUCGGCUAACUCCGCGCCAGCAGCCGCGGUAAUACGGUGGAUGCGAGCGUUAUCCGGAUUUAGUGGGUUUAAAGGGUGCGUAGGCGGAGUUUUAAGGUAGCGGUAAAAUGUCCGGGCUCAACCCGGGCCGGCGGUUGAAACUGGGGAUCUUGAGUGGGCGAGAAGUAAGCGGAAGGCGUGGUGUAGCGGUGAAAUGCAUAGAUAUCACGCAGAACUCCGAUUGCGAAGGCAGCAUACCGGCGCCCGACUGACGCUGAGGCACGAAAGCGUGGGGAGCAAACAGGAUUAGAUACCCGUGUAGUC